AUUGAACGCUGGCGGAAUGCUUUACACAUGCAAGUCGAACGGCAGCACGGACUUCGGUCUGGUGGCGAGUGGCGAACGGGUGAGUAACAUAUCGGAACGUAUCCAAUAAUGGGGGAUAACUAAUCGAAAGGUUGGCUAAUACCGCAUACGCCUUGAGGGGGAAAGCUAGGGAUCUUCGGACCUGGCGUUAAUGGAGCGGCCGAUAUCUGAUUAGCUAGUUGGUGGGGUAAAGGCCCACCAAGGCGACGAUCAGUAGCUGGUCUGAGAGGACGACCAGCCACACUGGAACUGAGACACGGUCCAGACUCCUACGGGAGGCAGCAGUGGGGAAUUUUGGACAAUGGGCGCAAGCCUGAUCCAGCCAUUCCGCGUGAGUGAAGAAGGCCUUCGGGUUGUAAAGCUCUUUCGCAAGGGAAGAAAACUUAUCCUCUAACAUAGGAUGAGGUUGACGGUACCUUGAUAAGAAGCACCGGCUAACUACGUG
Molecule: ribosomal RNA, 484 nt
Filed under: uncultured bacterium
Lineage: Bacteria
Description: bacterial SSU rRNA
Rfam family: Bacterial small subunit ribosomal RNA
Source: RNAcentral